This 611-nucleotide ribosomal RNA is filed under the name fungal sp. MC565. RNAcentral describes it as "eukaryotic LSU rRNA". It matches the Rfam family "Eukaryotic large subunit ribosomal RNA", at positions 115 to 745 of the family's 3401-position model. The record is from RNAcentral. Lineage: Eukaryota; Fungi.
UUGAAAUCUGGCCUUUCAGGUCCGAGUUGUAAUUUGUAGAGGGUGCUUUGGCGUCGGCUGCGGUCUAAGUUCCUUGGAACAGGACGUCACAGAGGGUGAGAAUCCCGUACGUGGCUGCUAGUCUUCGCCGUGUAAAGCCCCUUCGACGAGUCGAGUUGUUUGGGAAUGCAGCUCUAAAUGGGAGGUAAAUUUCUUCUAAAGCUAAAUAUUGGCCAGAGACCGAUAGCGCACAAGUAGAGUGAUCGAAAGAUGAAAAGCACUUUGGAAAGAGAGUCAAAAAGCACGUGAAAUUGUUGAAAGGGAAGCGCUUGCAGCCAGACUUGCCUGUAGUUGCUCAUCGGGACCCCGUCCCGUGCACUCUUCUGCAGGCGGGCCAGCAUCAGUUCAGGCGGCCGGACAAAGACCUCUAUCACGUAUCUUCCUUCGGGAUGACCUUAUAGGGGAGGUGUAAUGCGGCCAGCUUGGAUUGAGGUCCGCGCAUCUGCUAGGAUGCUGGCGUAAUGGCUGUAAGCGGCCCGUCUUGAAACACGGACCAAGGAGUCUAACAUCUAUGCGAGUGUUUGGGUGUCAAGCCCGGGCGCGCAAUGAAAGUGAACGGAGAUGGAACCCCU